RNAcentral lists this ribosomal RNA (388 nucleotides) under uncultured bacterium. RNAcentral describes it as "bacterial SSU rRNA". It matches the Rfam family "Bacterial small subunit ribosomal RNA", at positions 28 to 412 of the family's 1533-position model. The record is from RNAcentral.
GACGAACGCUGGCGGCGUGCUUAACACAUGCAAGUCGAGCGGUAAGGCCCUUUCUGGGGUACACGAGCGGCGAACGGGUGAGUAACACGUGGGUGACCUGCCCUUAGCUCUGGGAUAAGCCUGGGAAACUGGGUCUAAUACCGGAUAUGACUCCAUAACGCAUGUUGGUGGGGUGGAAAGCCUUGUGCGGCUAGGGAUGGGCCCGCGGCCUAUCAGCUUGGUUGGGUGGGGUGAUGGCCUACCAAGGCGACGACGGGUAGCCGGCCUGAGAGGGCGACCGGCCACACUGGGACUGAGACACGGCCCAGACUCCGUACGGGAGGCAGCAGGUGGGGAAUCUUGCGCAAUGGGCGAAAGCCUGACGCAGCGACGCCGCGGUGGGGAUGAC